GGAUCAUUAACGAGUUAGGGUCUCUCCAGGCCCGACCUCCCAACCCUUUGUCUACCUUGCUGCAUGUUGCUUUGGCGGACCCGUCUCACGACCGCCCUGGGACCGCCGAGAGGUGUCCCUAGGCCCGUGUCCGCCGAUAGCCAACCUAAACUCUUGGAUGAAUCGUGUUUUAUGUCUGAGUCUUGUGAUUAAAUCAAAAGCAAAAACUUUCAACAACGGAUCUCUUGGUUCUGGCAUCGAUGAAGAACGCAGCGAAAUGCGAUAAGUAAUGCGAAUUGCAGAAUUCCCGUGAGUCAUCGAAUCUUUGAACGCACAUUGCGCCCUUUGGUAUUCCAAAGGGCAUGCCUGUUCGAGCGUCAUUAUCACCCCUCAAGCCCCGUGCUUGGUGUUGGACGGAUCUUGGUCGUGUGAUCGCGACCCCUCCUAAAGACAAUGACGGCGGCCUGUGGAUCCCCCGGUACACUGAGCUUUUAACUGAGCACGUAUCGGACAAGGGCGCCCAGGACCCGGUCCUUCUCCUUUAACCAGGAAAUUUCUUCAAGGUUGACCUCGGAUCAGGUAGGAAUACGCGCUGAACUUAAGCAUAUCAAUAAGCGCAGGAAAAGAAACCAACAGGGAUUGCCUCAGUAACGGCGAGUGAAGCGGCAACAGCUCAAAUUUGAAAUCUGGCCUCUCGGGGUCCGAGUUGUAAUUUGUAGAGGAUGUUUUGGGUACCGCCCCGGUCUAAAUUUCUUGGAACAGAAUGUCAGAGAGGGUGAGAAUCCCGUCUUGGACCGGCGGUAGGGCCUGUGUAAAACUCCUUCGACGAGUCGAGUUGUUUGGGAAUGCAGCUCAAAAUGGGUGGUAAAUUUCAUCUAAAGCUAAAUAUUGGCCAGAGACCGAUAGCGCACAAGUAGAGUGAUCGAAAGAUGAAAAGAACUUUGAAAAGAGAGUUAAACAGUAUGUGAAAUUGUUGAAAGGGAAGCGCUUGCAACCAGACUUGAGCGCGACGGUUCCCCUAGCCUUUUGGCUAGGUUACUCUGUCGUGUCCAGGCCAACAUCGGUUCUGAGGGCCGGUCAAAGGCCCCGGGAAUGUACCUACCCACGGGUAGACUUAUAGACCGGGGUGUCAUGCGGCCUCUCGGGACCGAGGAACGCGCUUCGGCUCGGAUGUUGGCGUAAUGGUUGUCAGCGACCCGUCUUGAAACACGGACCAAGGAGUCUAACAUCUAUGCGAGUGUUUGGGUGUCAAACCCGGAACGCGGAAUGAAAGUGAACGGAGGUAGGAAGCUUCGGCUGCACUAUCGACCGAUCCUGAAGUUUACGGAUGGAUUUGAGUAAGAGCAUAGCUGUUGGGACCCGAAAGAUGGUGAACUAUGCCUGAAUAGGGUGAAGCCAGAGGAAACUCUGGUGGAGGCUCGCAGCGGUUCUGACGUGCAAAUCGAUCGUCAAAUUUGGGUAUAGGGGCGAAAGACUAAUCGAACCAU
This 1466-nucleotide ribosomal RNA is filed under the name Phialophora macrospora. RNAcentral's name for it is "eukaryotic LSU rRNA". The stretch from base 545 to 1466 matches the Rfam family "Eukaryotic large subunit ribosomal RNA", at positions 1 to 943 of the family's 3401-position model. The record is from RNAcentral. Lineage: Eukaryota; Fungi; Ascomycota; Eurotiomycetes; Chaetothyriales; Herpotrichiellaceae.